UGGGGAGCACUACCAGCACUACCGAUCAGUGCCAGAGCGAAAUGGCAAGCAUGAAGGACAUUCUGGCGGUCCCAGCGUCAUCAGUGCGAGGAUAGGAUAAAUCAUUGCAGAUAGUGUAAAUCAUAUCACCAGAACCUGCAAUAUCCCAGCUGGUGGCGAAUUGUUUGAUUGGAAUCAGUUUUGUUCUGCAAGUAGUAAGACACAGAUUGCAUUCUUUUUCUUUCACGCUGAGAAGUGGGUUCGUCGUUUGAACCGCGCAAUUCUCCCAACAUGAAGUCUUUUGUUUUGAGCUCCGUUUGUCGCUUGCUAUUAAGUGCACCUGCUGACGGUAAGCUAUUAAAGCUACGGUACAAUCUCGUGUUCAGUGGAAGAUUGAGGGCGCUCCAAUCUACAAAGUUGGAUGGCGUGCGGCGGAAAACUGGAGGCGUCAGCACUCUGAGUGAGGCAAAAUUUCGAAAUACCUAAGACCUCGAUACAUGCCGGGGUGUGCGAGUGCUCCUGUGGGAGCGCGGUGGGCUGUGCGAUGAAAAAUUUCACCUUGCUUUCACUAUGACAGUAUAUUUGCAUUUUCUGGAUCGAGGAAAUGGUUAUUCAAUUAAACGCCGAUAUCGGCUAACCAUAAUCAGCUGGCGACUGUACCGGCUCAACCGAUCCCCAAAUCUAUUACGAACGUGUUAGAUAAUUAGCAACAGUAUUUACCUAAAUUAUUCCUCAACAUGUAUGUUCCAGGGCUUCCAAUCGCUGAAUAAAGACCACAUAGGGUGCGGAGUACCGAUCCGAUCGUUGUCGAGAGCUGCCAUUAUAAGAGCACCGUCUGAAGGCUGCCUUUCAGUCAGUGUCGGUGUCGGACUGGAAAAUCGUUGCCAAACUCGAUAGUUGACCUGUGCCCUCUUGAAUGGUGGGUACUGCUAAAAUCAACACCCCCGGUUGCGCGGUUGAUGUCAGCCCGAGUACAAGCACCUGUGUGUAGGUGAAACUGUAAAUGUUAUUGAACCGUGGGAAAAGGUGCAGAGAAAGGCUGCUGACGGUGAGCGCGGCGUAUGGGCUCUAGUGAUCUGUUCAAAAUUGUGAGCAAAUUCCGAACUACUGCAAAGUCGAUGCUCGGAAUAUAAAUUGGACUAUUUGCAAUUGGUAAGGAGUCUGUAUUGUUGGGCGAAAUUUAUUCAUGUUAAUACCAGUUUCUACAUCUUGUUCUCUGGUAUAAAACUGCUCAACGCAGCAUUUCAAACCCCGUCACUAAUUGUUCUAGCAUUUGCAAACCAAGAAAAAAAAUAGGCGUCUAUACAAAUCGUCUAAAAGCACAAAAUUUCAGUGAAUUUGAUUUUCUGACAUUUAUGAUACAUUCAUACGAUGAUACUUUAUGAUCGAUUAAUGUUAGAUUAAGAAUUUAUUCAGUCUAUAGUCUAUAAUCUAUAGUUGAACUACGUUCUCGAGGAUGUUAUGAAGUAAUAAACAGGAGACAGAUUUCAAAGGGAUGGCAUCAAUGGAACUAGAUUACAGUCGUUUUAUAGUGUACCCGAGGACAGCUAAUGCCUUCACUGUUACAUAGCAUAAGUGUUCAUGAAUGCGUGGUUUUCAACAUUCAACCCAUUAGCGACCAAGUUGUUGAAAUAUUUUUUGACGGAAGUCAUUUGUGUAAUUUUUUAUUAUUGGCGAUAAAGAAACCCGAACGUUCAAGAAUUACUGUUUCUUUCAAUCUUCUAUUUUCCGGGAUAAUGACUGGUCAAAAAAAUCGAACAUUGGCCAAAACCUGUAUUUUUUCCUGUUGGAGGUUCACUCGAAUGAUGUUUGUCCCAUAUCACAAUGCACAAUGGUCCAGGAGAUGUAUUUAAGUGGAAAUUAGCAUUUAGAGCUCGACAAUUAUUCUCUAGACAAAAACUGUCUUCGACAAAGUUGUUACAUACAAUAGAGCGCUUAUUUUUAUGUUAUCAAAAAUAGGGUGACCAAAAUUGUCGAUGAAAUAAAAAAUAUAACUUUCUUAUCUUUAUAGAUAGAGGUAAACAUAGUUCGUCAAUGCUGUAGUCCUAGUCAUUUGAGACAUCUUUAACCGAUAACCGAUAUAGCGCCUUUUUUCUAAGUUACGUUAGGGUCACCAUGAAAAAAAAAUGUUUUUUUUUGCUCUUACUUUUAUAUGUCAAAUUCUUCAUACAAACUGUCUUCAGAAGAUUUUUAGAACUUACUAAUACAAAUAUUUUGAGAUGCAGAACUUAUCAAUAUCUCAACUCUACUCAAAGUUAUUUAUAUUUCUUCCCAAAUGAAAACGCUCUCUUCAAUUGUUUGUCAUUCUUUCUGGGGCAAACACAAGCAAAGUUUAUUGACGGAAUUUGA
This is a long non-coding RNA of Toxorhynchites rutilus septentrionalis, 2328 nucleotides long. RefSeq lists it as uncharacterized. The record is from RefSeq and is a predicted model, not a curated record. NCBI's taxonomy places the organism in Eukaryota, Metazoa, Arthropoda, Insecta, Diptera, Culicidae. The transcript has 3 exons.